Molecule: non-coding RNA, 25 nt
Filed under: Rattus norvegicus (Norway rat)
Lineage: Eukaryota; Metazoa; Chordata; Mammalia; Rodentia; Muridae
Source: RNAcentral
UGAUGUAACAUCUGUUCCCUCAAAA